Molecule: ribosomal RNA, 400 nt
Filed under: uncultured bacterium
Lineage: Bacteria
Description: bacterial SSU rRNA
Rfam family: Bacterial small subunit ribosomal RNA
Source: RNAcentral
GGGGAAUAUUGGACAAUGGGGGCAACCCUGAUCCAGCCAUGCCGCGUGAGUGAUGAAGGCCUUCGGGUUGUAAAGCUCUUUUGGUGGGGACGAUGAUGACGGUACCCGCAGAAUAAGCCCCGGCUAACUUCGUGCCAGCAGCCGCGGUAAUACGAAGGGGGCUAGCGUUGUUCGGAAUUACUGGGCGUAAAGGGCGCGUAGGCGGCCUUGUUAGUCGAGUGUGAAAGCCCUGGGCUUAACCCGGGAAGCGCGCUUGAUACUGCAGGGCUUGAGUGUGGGAGAGGUUGGUGGAAUUCCCAGUGUAGAGGUGAAAUUCGUAGAUAUUGGGAAGAACACCGGUGGCGAAGGCGACCAACUGGACCACAACUGACGCUGAGGCGCGAAAGCGUGGGGAGCAAAC